CCUGGGUCAUGAGGCGGUCGGCGCCCGUGUUCUCCUCGUCCUUGAAGAUGAUGUCGGGAUUGUAGUUGGGGGACACAGUGGUGGUUCAGGAUCUCAAUCUCAAAUUCAGAUCUGCAUCCAUCCGGUCACCUGCAGUGGAAGGAGGGUGGGGAAGAGGCCCAUCCUGUUGCCAAUAAACUGGAGAACCAAGGUGUGCCACUUCCGGGGCCAGCAAUGGCCUGGAGUUUAAGCAGCAGCAACAGAGCCUGAUGAGGGCACCUCACAUCUGAGUCCCAGGCCUAUUGUCCUGCCACUUGCCCAGAUCAAUCUUGCUCUAAAUCCAUGGGAGCCGAACCACAACCAGACAAGUUUCAGGAGUGCCGUUAGUCGAAUACCUGCCGGUGACUCAGGGCACAGCAGCCCCGGCUCAUGGAAAGAGCACCAGGCCUGGAAUUGGCCGAUCUGCACCCGAACAUGGUCUCUGAUACCUUCUACCCAUGUGGCCUUGGGUGCUCUAAUUCCAACUGGUGAUGGGGUUAGACCUCUUGAAGGAUAUCCGUUUUGAAGGAGGGGAAGGAAUGCCUAAAAAGAAUGAAGAGGAAACUCAGAGAUGGGCUGUGGCUCAAACACAGAUGAUGGCACAGUGAUAAUGAAAACCCAAGCUGGACGAUCUAGGAAGGGGGGAGGUUCCACUGCGAUCUGAUGUAACCUUCACUAAAGCCUUAUGAAAUUGACACCAUUAUCUUCGUUUUACGAAUGAGGAACUAAGGUUCAGAGCUUGUAAGCGAGGGAGUUGAAGUUGGAAUCCAGACCGGUUUGACUCCAUAAUAAUCCCAUUUCUUUGUGAUUCCUGGGGCAAGCACACUGGGUUGUUGACCUCUGUUCAAGACACUCAUUUUCUCUCUAAAUAUAGGGGACUCUUUUGUUACCUU
Neogale vison (American mink) is the source of this 911-nucleotide long non-coding RNA. RefSeq lists it as uncharacterized. The record is from RefSeq and is a predicted model, not a curated record. NCBI's taxonomy places the organism in Eukaryota, Metazoa, Chordata, Mammalia, Carnivora, Mustelidae. The transcript has 5 exons.